Molecule: non-coding RNA, 638 nt
Organism: Lutra lutra (Eurasian river otter)
Lineage: Eukaryota; Metazoa; Chordata; Mammalia; Carnivora; Mustelidae
Source: the annotation of a RefSeq genome assembly
AUGGCCUGGAGCUCUGUUCUCCUUGUGCUCUUCUGUCACUGCACAGGUUCCCUGUCCCAGCCUGUGCUGACCCAGACGCCCUCCCUCUCUACAUCUCCGGGAACAACAGCCAGACUCACCUGCACCCUGAGCAGGGACAUCAGUGUUGGUAAUAAAAACAUGUACUGGUACCAGAAAAGCCUGGAAGUCCUCCCCAUUUUUUCCUGUACUACUACACAGAUCCAGACAAGAAGCUGGGACCUGGGGUCCCCAGUCGUGUCUCUGGUUCCAAAGAUGCCACCACUGAUAUGGCAAGUUUGCUCAUCUCUGACCUGCAGCCUGAGAACGAGGCUGACUAUUACUGCAGUGUAGGUUACACCAGUGGGAGCAGUUUUCAUUACCCACAGUCCUCAGCCCAGUCUGUGCUGACUCAGCCACCCCCCAUGUCUGGGGCCAGGGACUACAGUGUCACCAUCUCCUACACUGGAAGCAGCUUCAACCUCAGUAGUAAUUAUGUGAAUGGCACCAACAGCUCCCAGGAACAGCCCCCCAAACCAUCAUCUAUCAUUAUAACAAAUGACUCUUACGGGUCCCUGAUAGAUUCCUCAUUCCUGAUCAGUCAGUUCAGGCACCCUGACCAUCACUGGGCUCUAGGCUGA